UUUUAUGAGAGUUUGAUCCUGGCUCAGGACGAACGCUGGCGGCGUGCCUAAUACAUGCAAGUCGAACGCUUCUUUUUCCACCGGAGCUUGCUCCACCGGAAAAAGAGGAGUGGCGAACGGGUGAGUAACACGUGGGUAACCUGCCCAUCAGAAGGGGAUAACACUUGGAAACAGGUGCUAAUACCGUAUAACAAUCAAAACCGCAUGGUUUUGAUUUGAAAGGCGCUUUCGGGUGUCGCUGAUGGAUGGACCCGCGGUGCAUUAGCUAGUUGGUGAGGUAACGGCUCACCAAGGCCACGAUGCAUAGCCGACCUGAGAGGGUGAUCGGCCACAUUGGGACUGAGACACGGCCCAAACUCCUACGGGAGGCAGCAGUAGGGAAUCUUCGGCAAUGGACGAAAGUCUGACCGAGCAACGCCGCGUGAGUGAAGAAGGUUUUCGGAUCGUAAAACUCUGUUGUUAGAGAAGAACAAGGAUGAGAGUAACUGUUCAUCCCUUGACGGUAUCUAACCAGAAAGCCACGGCUAACUACGUGCCAGCAGCCGCGGUAAUACGUAGGUGGCAAGCGUUGUCCGGAUUUAUUGGGCGUAAAGCGAGCGCAGGCGGUUUCUUAAGUCUGAUGUGAAAGCCCCCGGCUCAACCGGGGAGGGUCAUUGGAAACUGGGAGACUUGAGUGCAGAAGAGGAGAGUGGAAUUCCAUGUGUAGCGGUGAAAUGCGUAGAUAUAUGGAGGAACACCAGUGGCGAAGGCGGCUCUCUGGUCUGUAACUGACGCUGAGGCUCGAAAGCGUGGGGAGCAAACAGGAUUAGAUACCCUGGUAGUCCACGCCGUAAACGAUGAGUGCUAAGUGUUGGAGGGUUUCCGCCCUUCAGUGCUGCAGCUAACGCAUUAAGCACUCCGCCUGGGGAGUACGACCGCAAGGUUGAAACUCAAAGGAAUUGACGGGGGCCCGCACAAGCGGUGGAGCAUGUGGUUUAAUUCGAAGCAACGCGAAGAACCUUACCAGGUCUUGACAUCCUUUGA
RNAcentral lists this ribosomal RNA (1023 nucleotides) under Enterococcus faecium. RNAcentral's name for it is "bacterial SSU rRNA". It matches the Rfam family "Bacterial small subunit ribosomal RNA", at positions 1 to 994 of the family's 1533-position model. Lineage: Bacteria; Bacillati; Bacillota; Bacilli; Lactobacillales; Enterococcaceae. The record is from RNAcentral.